Molecule: non-coding RNA, 363 nt
Organism: Galeopterus variegatus (Sunda flying lemur)
Lineage: Eukaryota; Metazoa; Chordata; Mammalia; Dermoptera; Cynocephalidae
Source: the annotation of a RefSeq genome assembly
AUGCUGAUCACCAGUCUGCUGAGGGCAGUCAUAGCCGCCAUCUGUUUUGGAUCCAGCAAGGCCCAGAAGGUAACUCAAACUCAGAGUGCAAUUUCUGUGGUGGAGCAGGAGGCUGUGACCUUGAACUGUGUGUAUGAAUCCCGUGAUACUACAUAUCAUUUAUUCUGGUACAAACAACCAGCAAGUGGAGAAAUACGGUUCCUCAUUCGUCAGGACUCUUAUACUGAGCAAAAUGAAACAAAUGGUCGGUAUUCUGUGAACUUCCAGAAAUCAGCCAAUUCCAUCAGCCUCACCAUCACAGCCUCACAGCUCACAGACUCAGCAGUGUAUUUCUGUGCUCUGAGAGAGGCCACAGUGAGAUAG